GCGAGUGUAGUUCAGUGGUAGAACGUGACCUUCCCAAGGUUGAGGCGGGAGUUCGAUUCUCCUCACUCGCUCCA
Molecule: transfer RNA, 74 nt
Filed under: Candidatus Berkelbacteria bacterium RIFOXYA2_FULL_43_10
Lineage: Bacteria; Candidatus Berkelbacteria
Description: tRNA-Gly
Rfam family: tRNA
About the family: Transfer RNA (tRNA) molecules are approximately 80 nucleotides in length. Their secondary structure includes four short double-helical elements and three loops (D, anti-codon, and T loops).
Source: RNAcentral